RNAcentral lists this ribosomal RNA (508 nucleotides) under uncultured prokaryote. Its description in RNAcentral is "bacterial SSU rRNA". It matches the Rfam family "Bacterial small subunit ribosomal RNA", at positions 53 to 561 of the family's 1533-position model. The record is from RNAcentral.
ACAUGCAAGUCGAGGGGUAACGGAAGUAGCUUGCUACUAGACGACGACCGGCGCACGGGUGAGUAACGCGUAUGUUAUCUGCCUUGUACAGAGGGAUAGCCCAGAGAAAUUUGGAUUAAUACCUCAUAGUAUUACUGAAUCGCAUGAUUUGGUAAUUAAAGCUCCGGCGGUACAAGUUGAACAUGCGUGACAUUAGCUAGUUGGUAAGGUAACGGCUUACCAAGGCCACGAUGUCUAGGGGUUCUGAGAGGAUGAUCCCCCACACUGGUACUGAGACACGGACCAGACUCCUACGGGAGGCAGCAGUGAGGAAUAUUGGUCAAUGGACGCAAGUCUGAACCAGCCAUCCCGCGUGAAGGAUGACUGCCCUAUGGGUUGUAAACUUCUUUUUAUGCAAAUAACCUACUUUCGUGAAAGUACUGAAGGUAGCAUAUGAAUAAACACCGGCUAACUCCGUGCCAGCAGCCGCGGUAUACGGAGGUGUAGCGUUAUCCGGAUUAUUGGGUUA